CCCUUAGAUGUUCUGGGCCGCACGCGUGCUACACUGAGUGGAUCAGCGGGUCAGGUUGCGCGAAAGCGUUUCCUAAUCUUGAAAUCCGCUCGUGAUGGGGAUUGACGGUUGCAAUUUUCUGUCAUGAACGAGGAAUACCUUGUAAGCGCGAGUCAUCAUCCCGCGCUGAAUACGUCCCUGCCCUUUGUACACACCGCCCGUCGCUCCUACCGAUUGAGUGGUCCGGUGAGGCUUUGGGAUCUGAGCGGAAAGAGCGUUUCGCUCGUUCUGCCCGGAAAACUCAGUCGAACCUUAUCAUUUAGAGGAAGGAGAAGUCGUAACA
RNAcentral lists this ribosomal RNA (322 nucleotides) under uncultured eukaryote. RNAcentral describes it as "partial 18S ribosomal RNA". It matches the Rfam family "Eukaryotic small subunit ribosomal RNA", at positions 1470 to 1796 of the family's 1831-position model. The record is from RNAcentral.